GCCUGUGGCCUCUGCCGGAACUCCAGGUUGUUACUGUCAGAAUGCGGUGAGGUGCGGGACCCCAGCUGGUGUUGGAGAGCGGUUGUGUUGGAAGGUAAUAGGUGGCAGGAUGCCCCCAUAGCUGGAAGAAGCUGGAAGAAUUUGGAAGAAGCUUCCUCUGCAUAGAUGACCAGGGGGCUGCAAAAAUCUUUAAAAUGGUCGAGCUGGGCCAGGAAGACUUGGUGGGAAGUAAUGUGGGCAGUGCCCAAGAUAAGAGGGCUGAAGAGGGGGUCUUAGGAAGAGCUCCCUCCCACCCACCAGCAAUGAGUCCUCAGACUGGGAGAAAGGAGGGUGCACACAGCAUUGGAGAGAGCCUGUGUGAACACAGGGGGAAGCUCUCCUUUCCAACCCGAACAAACUGAUGAGGGAGUGGAUGGGAACGCUCGUGACUCUUGCAUUCUGCGUGGAAAAGAAUGUCUGUGUUGCUUUGGAGCAUUGAGUUGGGAGCGCUCAGCUUUUCAUGCAGUGACUUGGCAUUUCGGAUGACUUGACUCAAGGCUGGCAGUCUUUACACACGAGUCUUCCU
Ailuropoda melanoleuca (giant panda) is the source of this 565-nucleotide long non-coding RNA. RefSeq lists it as uncharacterized. The transcript is spliced from 3 exons. The record is from RefSeq and is a predicted model, not a curated record. NCBI's taxonomy places the organism in Eukaryota, Metazoa, Chordata, Mammalia, Carnivora, Ursidae.